UACAGAGGUCUCAAGCGUUGUUCGGAUUCAUUGGGCGUAAAGGGUGCGUAGGCGGCGUCGUAAGUCGGGUGUGAAAUCUCGGGGCUUAACUCCGAAAUUGCAUUCGAUACUGCCGUGCUUGAGGACUGGAGAGGAGACUGGAAUUUACGGUGUAGCGGUGAAAUGCGUAGAUAUCGUAAGGAAGACCAGUGGCGAAGGCGGGUCCCUGGACAGUUCCUGACGCUGAGGCACGAAGGCCAGGGGAGCAAACGGG
RNAcentral lists this ribosomal RNA (253 nucleotides) under uncultured bacterium. RNAcentral's name for it is "partial 16S ribosomal RNA". It matches the Rfam family "Bacterial small subunit ribosomal RNA", at positions 524 to 776 of the family's 1533-position model. The record is from RNAcentral.